GUUGAAAUUCCACUAGGGCUUACAAACCUGCUGCACUGUCAUCGCUCCUUCUGUAGGUGACCUGAGUGUUCCUCCUAGAAAUCAAACAUUUGCCUAAAAACUACAGCAAGCUUCUGGCUUUGUCCUGUUGUCCCAGCACAGCAAGCUUCCUCUCCCACCCCUACUAAAGAGGACCUCUCAUACCGAUGCUGCAGAGGUGUUCUUGUUUCUUCUUUCCUCCUUGUUACGAGAUUUGAGGUACCACCUCUACCAACAUACACUGAUGUGGCUCCCAGCAGAGCUGGUCUGGACCCAAGUCUCUCUGAAAUGCAAGCAGUAAACAGGAAUAAGAGAGCAUGGGGUGCGUCUGCAGUGACAAAUGUGAGAUGCUCACAGCUGGCAAGUUGUGUACCACAGAUGGAGUGA
This 405-nucleotide long non-coding RNA is filed under the name Anser brachyrhynchus (Pink-footed goose). RNAcentral's name for it is "lncRNA (ENSABRG00000013227.1)". The record is from RNAcentral. Lineage: Eukaryota; Metazoa; Chordata; Aves; Anseriformes; Anatidae.